AGUGAACGCUGGCGGUAGGCCUAACACAUGCAAGUCGAACGGCAGCACAGUAAGAGCUUGCUCUUACGGGUGGCGAGUGGCGGACGGGUGAGGAAUACAUCGGAAUCUACUUUUUCGUGGGGGAUAACGUAGGGAAACUUACGCUAAUACCGCAUACGACCUACGGGUGAAAGCAGGGGAUCUUCGGACCUUGCGCGAUUGAAUGAGCCGAUGUCGGAUUAGCUAGUUGGCGGGGUAAAGGCCCACCAAGGCGACGAUCCGUAGCUGGUCUGAGAGGAUGAUCAGCCACACUGGAACUGAGACACGGUCCAGACUCCUACGGGAGGCAGCAGUGGGGAAUAUUGGGCAAUGGGCGCAAGCCUGAUCCAGCCAUACCGCGUGGGCGAAGAAGGCCUUCGGGUUGUAAAGCCCUUUUGUUGGGAAAGAAAAGCAGCAGGUUAAUACCCCGCUGUUCUGACGGUACCCAAAGAAUAAGCACCGGCUAACUUCGUG
RNAcentral lists this ribosomal RNA (492 nucleotides) under uncultured bacterium. Its description in RNAcentral is "partial 16S ribosomal RNA". It matches the Rfam family "Bacterial small subunit ribosomal RNA", at positions 29 to 507 of the family's 1533-position model. The record is from RNAcentral.